This 492-nucleotide ribosomal RNA is filed under the name uncultured bacterium. RNAcentral's name for it is "partial 16S ribosomal RNA". It matches the Rfam family "Bacterial small subunit ribosomal RNA", at positions 29 to 507 of the family's 1533-position model. The record is from RNAcentral.
AGUGAACGCUGGCGGUAGGCCUAACACAUGCAAGUCGAACGGCAGCACAGUAAGAGCUUGCUCUUACGGGUGGCGAGUGGCGGACGGGUGGGGAAUACAGCGGACUCUACGUUGGCGGGGGGGAUAACGUAGGGACACUUACGCUAAUACCGCAUACGCCCUACGGGUGAAAGCAGGGGAUCUUCGGCCCUUGCGCGCAUGAAUGAGCCGAUGUCGGAUUAGCUAGUUGGCGGGGUAAGGGCCCACCAAGGCGACGAUCCGUAGCUGGUCUGAGAGGAUGAUCAGCCACACUGGAACUGAGACACGGUCCAGACUCCUACGGGAGGCAGCAGUGGGGAAUAUUGGACAAUGGGCGCAAGCCUGAUCCAGCCAUACCGCGUGGGUGAAGAAGGCCUUCGGGUUGUAAAGCCCUUUUGUUGGGGAAGAAGAGCAGCAGGUUAAUACGCCGCUGUUCUGACGGUACCCAAAGAAUAAGCACCGGCUAACUUCGUG